AUACGGAGGAUCCAAGCGUUAUCCGGAAUCAUUGGGUUUAAAGGGUCCGUAGGCGGUCUUAUAAGUCAGUGGUGAAAGCCCAUCGCUCAACGAUGGAACUGCCAUUGAUACUGUAGGACUUGAAUUUUUGUGAAGUAACUAGAAUAUGUAGUGUAGCGGUGAAAUGCUUAGAUAUUACAUGGAAUACCAAUUGCGAAGGCAGGUUACUAACAAACGAUUGACGCUGAUGGACGAAAGCGUGGGGAGCGAACAGGAUUAGAUACCCUGGUAGUCCACGCCGUAAACGAUGGAUACUAGCUGUUUGGAGCAAUCUGAGUGGCUAAGCGAAAGUGAUAAGUAUCCCACCUGGGGAGUACGCACGCAAGUGUGAA
Molecule: ribosomal RNA, 371 nt
Filed under: uncultured bacterium
Lineage: Bacteria
Description: bacterial SSU rRNA
Rfam family: Bacterial small subunit ribosomal RNA
Source: RNAcentral